RNAcentral lists this small RNA (1207 nucleotides) under uncultured bacterium. RNAcentral describes it as "bacterial SSU rRNA". The stretch from base 1 to 489 matches the Rfam family "Bacterial small subunit ribosomal RNA", at positions 1045 to 1533 of the family's 1533-position model. The record is from RNAcentral.
AUGGCUGUCGUCAGCUCGUGUUGUGAGAUGUUGGGUUAAGUCCCGCAACGAGCGCAACCCCUAUCCUUAGUUGCUAGCAGGUAAUGCUGAGAACUCUAAGGAGACUGCCGGUGAUAAACCGGAGGAAGGUGGGGACGACGUCAAGUCAUCAUGGCCCUUACGUGUAGGGCUACACACGUGCUACAAUGGCGCAUACAGAGUGCUGCGAACUCGCGAGAGUAAGCGAAUCACUUAAAGUGCGUCGUAGUCCGGAUUGGAGUCUGCAACUCGACUCCAUGAAGUCGGAAUCGCUAGUAAUCGCGUAUCAGAAUGACGCGGUGAAUACGUUCCCGGGCCUUGUACACACCGCCCGUCACACCAUGGGAGUGGGUUGCUCCAGAAGUAGAUAGUCUAACCCUCGGGAGGACGUUUACCACGGAGUGAUUCAUGACUGGGGUGAAGUCGUAACAAGGUAGCCCUAGGGGAACCUGGGGCUGGAUCACCUCCUUAUACGAUUUAGAACUUAUUUGUUCGUAGUGUCCACACAGAUGAUUGUUAUUGUAAAGAGAACAACACUUAUUGUUUUGGGUCUGUAGCUCAGCUGGUUAGAGCGCACCCCUGAUAAGGGUGAGGUCGGUAGUUCAAAUCUACUCAGACCCACCACUUCUUGUCUAAUCAAGAAGAUGGUUAAAACAGUAAGUACCAGCAUAUGUGGGGCUAUAGCUCAGCUGGGAGAGCGCCUGCCUUGCACGCAGGAGGUCAGCAGUUCGAUCCUGCUUAGCUCCACCACUUUUACUUCUUAAAAAUAAAUAUUCUUUAUCGGGCCAUUAACCGCCUGAGAAUAGAGUGUGUUUAAUUUUGAGAGGUUUUUGUAUCUCUUGCUCUUUAAAAAUUUGGAAAAGCUGAUAAUAAAAUUCUGAUGAAUAACAUUGUUAUUUAUCAAGAGUUUUCAAAAGUAAAAAAAGAAUGGUAGCAGUACCAUUCAGUGCCAUUUGAUUGACGUUUUACGUUGAUUGAUUGGUAUCUACUUUAGUAUUCAAUAUUAACUUCUGGCGAAGUUAAACUGUCACAAAACAAAGACCCGUUUGGGUUGUAUGGUUAAGUGACUAAGCGUACACGGUGGAUGCCUUGGCAGUUGGAGGCGAUGAAGGACGUAUUAACUUGCGAUAAGCCUAGUCAAGCUAGUAAAAAGCGCUUGAGACUAGGAUUUCCGAAUGGGGAAACCCGG